GGAUGCUGAGACCAGAGUAUUGCAGUUUGAUGGUAGCCUGAGCAGGAAAAUCUGAGGCUCUUAUUUCCACUAUCAAAAAAGCCAGAAGUAGAACUGUGGCUCAAGUGGUAGAAUUUUAGUCUUGAGCAAAAGAAGCUCAGUGACAGUGCCCGGACCUUGAGUUCAAAGCCCAGGACUGGCACCAAAAAUGAAACAAAACAAUGCAUACCAUAUUGCACAGGCUUUGAAAUCUCAGAAUGGCAUACCCAAUAACUACCUGUAAUUUUAUAAGUUCGGAGAUGGCUUAACUUAUUUUGCUAGUUAAGUGCAUGUACAAGUGCUAUGUUAAUUUAAAAAAAUAGUUAAGACUGUGUAAUUAUGUAACCUCUUUGAACCACUCAGCACUUGCUAUUUUAGAAAUCUCUGGAAGGCCAGGGGUGGUGGCUCCUCUUUGUAAUUUCGGUGCUAGGGAGAUCUGCCUGGGAGAAAAAAA
Perognathus longimembris pacificus (Pacific pocket mouse) is the source of this 472-nucleotide long non-coding RNA. RefSeq lists it as uncharacterized. Lineage: Eukaryota; Metazoa; Chordata; Mammalia; Rodentia; Heteromyidae. The record is from RefSeq and is a predicted model, not a curated record. The transcript is spliced from 3 exons.